RNAcentral lists this ribosomal RNA (707 nucleotides) under uncultured Staphylococcus sp. Its description in RNAcentral is "bacterial SSU rRNA". It matches the Rfam family "Bacterial small subunit ribosomal RNA", at positions 182 to 871 of the family's 1533-position model. The record is from RNAcentral. Lineage: Bacteria; Bacillati; Bacillota; Bacilli; Caryophanales; Staphylococcaceae.
UGAACCGCAUGGUUCAAAAGUGAAAGACGGUCUUGCUGUCACUUAUAGCAUGGAUCCGCGCUGCAUUAGCUAGUUGGUUAAGGUAACGGCUUACCAAGGACAACCGAUGCAUAGCCGACCUGAGAGGGUGAUCGGCCACACUGGAACUGAGACACGGUCCAGACUCCUACGGGAGGCAGCAGUAGGGAAUCUUCCGCAAUGGGCGAAAGCCUGACGGAGCAACGCCGCGUGAGUGAUGAAGGUCUUCGGAUCGUAAAACUCUGUUAUUAGGGAAGAACAUAUGUGUAAGUAACUGUGCACAUCUUGACGGUACCUAAUCAGAAAGCCACGGCUAACUACGUGCCAGCAGCCGCGGUAAUACGUAGGUGGCAAGCGUUAUCCGGAAUUAUUGGGCGUAAAGCGCGCGUAGGCGGUUUUUUAAGUCUGAUGUGAAAGCCCACGGCUCAACCGUGGAGGGUCAUUGGAAACUGGAAAACUUGAGUGCAGAAGAGGAAAGUGGAAUUCCAUGUGUAGCGGUGAAAUGCGCAGAGAUAUGGAGGAACACCAGUGGCGAAGGCGACUUUCUGGUCUGUAACUGACGCUGAUGUGCGAAAGCGUGGGGAUCAAACAGGAUUAGAUACCCUGGUAGUCCACGCCGUAAACGAUGAGUGCUCAAGUGUUAGGGGUUUCCGCCCCUUAGUGCUGCAGCUAACGCAUUAAGCACUCCG